Ribosomal RNA from Cricetulus griseus (Chinese hamster), 111 nucleotides. NCBI's taxonomy places the organism in Eukaryota, Metazoa, Chordata, Mammalia, Rodentia, Cricetidae. The record is from Ensembl.
GUCUAUAGUCACACCACCCUGAAUGCUCCUGUUCUUGUCUGAUCUAGGAAGCUAAGCAGGGUUAGUAUUUGCAAGGGAGAAAUGGGGAAAUUAUUUAAAAUAUUAUUAACU